AGAGUUUGAUCAUGGCUCAGAUUGAACGCUGGCGGUAGGCCUAACACAUGCAAGUCGAACGGCAGCACAGGAGAGCUUGCUCUCUGGGUGGCGAGUGGCGGACGGGUGAGGAAUACAUCGGAAUCUACCUUUUCGUGGGGGAUAACGUAGGGAAACUUACGCUAAUACCGCAUACGACCUACGGGUGAAAGUGGGGGACCGCAAGGCCUCACGCGAUUAGAUGAGCCGAUGUCCGAUUAGCUAGUUGGCGGGGUAAUGGCCCACCAAGGCGACGAUCGGUAGCUGGUCUGAGAGGAUGAUCAGCCACACUGGAACUGAGACACGGUCCAGACUCCUACGGGAGGCAGCAGUGGGGAAUAUUGGACAAUGGGGGAAACCCUGAUCCAGCCAUGCCGCGUGUGUGAAGAAGGCCUUCGGGUUGUAAAGCACUUUAAGCGAGGAGGAAGGGCUGAGGGUUAAUAACCUUCAGCAUUGACGUUACUCGCAGAAUAAGCACCGGCUAACUCUGUGCCAGCAGCCGCGGUAAU
This 527-nucleotide ribosomal RNA is filed under the name uncultured bacterium. RNAcentral's name for it is "bacterial SSU rRNA". It matches the Rfam family "Bacterial small subunit ribosomal RNA", at positions 8 to 524 of the family's 1533-position model. The record is from RNAcentral.